GAGGGUAUAGCUCAGUGGUAGAGUGUGUGCUUAGCAUGCACGAGGUCCUGGGUUCAAUCCCUAGUACCUCCA
Molecule: transfer RNA, 72 nt
Filed under: Camelus bactrianus (Bactrian camel)
Lineage: Eukaryota; Metazoa; Chordata; Mammalia; Artiodactyla; Camelidae
Also listed under: 3 other names
Rfam family: tRNA
About the family: Transfer RNA (tRNA) molecules are approximately 80 nucleotides in length. Their secondary structure includes four short double-helical elements and three loops (D, anti-codon, and T loops). Further hydrogen bonds mediate the characteristic L-shaped molecular structure. tRNAs have two regions of fundamental functional importance: the anti-codon, which is responsible for specific mRNA codon recognition, and the 3' end, to which the tRNAs corresponding amino acid is attached (by aminoacyl-tRNA synthetases). tRNAs cope with the degeneracy of the genetic code in two manners: having more than one tRNA (with a specific anti-codon) for a particular amino acid; and 'wobble' base-pairing, i.e. permitting non-standard base-pairing at the 3rd anti-codon position.
Source: Rfam by way of RNAcentral